This 1319-nucleotide long non-coding RNA is filed under the name Homo sapiens (human). Its description in RNAcentral is "uncharacterized LOC127814295, transcript variant 8 (LOC127814295)". The record is from RNAcentral. Lineage: Eukaryota; Metazoa; Chordata; Mammalia; Primates; Hominidae.
AUCUCUGCGUGACUUCCGCCAGCGUUUAGAGCGUUUUCGGGGUCCGAGUUGAAGAGCAAAACCAAGUGAAGGAAACUUCACUAAGUUCAGGGUGACAAGGGAGGAAGUACAGAGAAACAGAGCGCUUAAAAAGCACUGUCUGGAUAUCUUCAGAGGGAAAAAGGAGAAAGUUAACUGAAUUGGUGACACUUCGGGUCUCUCACAGAGGAAGAGACCACCAAACCAACAGAAGCCACCAGGACAGCACACAGCCAUUCCAAAAUUCCAGACCAGGAUCAUUCCAGAAAAGCCUUACAUCUCAGUCCAGUAUAUGGAUGGUUUUGUAAGAUGACCUAUGAUUUUUCUGUUCCUCCUUCCUGCCCCUAACUUCAGAGAAACAGACCUAGAAAGAGGGAAGGAAGGAGUGAAAAAGCGUGCCAUACUUUAUCUUCUCCCCUUCUGUUUUAAACUAGACAAAUCUAUAUUUUAAUUAUUAUAAGUAACCAGAAAGUUAUAUGGUCUGGCCAGGAUGGCAUUAAAGAAAAUGAGAGAGAAAAGUUUAAGAUAGCAUGGUUGGAGACAAUAAGUAGAAGAAACCAAGUAGUUCAAGUUUUAUAACGCUCUAUCUUAUAAACACUCUUGAACCAAUAAUAAUGCUAUUACUGAAAUGCUACACACAAUUGAAGACUACUUGUUAGACCAAGACCUUAAAAACUUCUUUACUGAUUAUUCCCAAUGUGUGGCCCUGGUAAUCAUUGAAGAAUCAUUGUAUUGACUAUUAAACAUCUAGGGAUCACCUGUUUAAAUCAAGUUAACAAAACACUUACUUAACAAAUAUAUAUUGAUUGCCUAUUAUGAAGUAGAUGCUAUAGUAGGUGCUGGCAGUAUAAACAUGAAAAGAGACAUUGUGUGUGCAUAUUAAUAUACAGCAAAUUAAACUUCAGCCAGAGAAGUACUUUACUAGAAGGUUGAUAGAAGUGUGGUGGUAGCUUGCAGGAGGAAGCAGUUAGCCUCCUUGGAAAUGAGUAAUCUUCACAGAAAGUAUGACAUUUGACCUGCUUCUUGGAGAAGAUGCAUAUUAAACCUAUUAAAUCCAUGUCAGCCUUUAACACCUUUGCUCAGAUUAGUUUCUCGAGCUGUUUUCCCACCUGGUGAGCAGAUAAGAGCAGGACAGGAAAGUUCUGAUGAAAGGAAGAAGUGCCAGAGAGAGAAGGCCUUGCAAGCAAAGAAGCCUGACAGGCAGGAGCCCCUGAGUAUCCUAAGGAGAAGUACCAGCGAUUUAGGGAAGAAAAUUGCUGCCAGAAGUGCAGGAAAUAAAAAUUCUGACCUAGAUCAUUUUA